Molecule: ribosomal RNA, 301 nt
Filed under: uncultured bacterium
Lineage: Bacteria
Description: partial 16S ribosomal RNA
Rfam family: Bacterial small subunit ribosomal RNA
Source: RNAcentral
CAGUCGCCGCGGGAAUACGAAGGGGGCUAGCGUUGUUCGGAAUUACUGGGCGUAAAGCGCACGUAGGCGGAUAUUUAAGUCAGGGGUGAAAUCCCGCAGCUCAACUGCGGAACUGCCUUUGAUACUGGGUAUCUUGAGUAUGGAAGAGGUUAGUGGAAUUGCGAGUGUAGAGGUGAAAUUCGUAGAUAUUCGCAGGAACACCAGUGGCGAAGGCGGCUAACUGGUCCAUAACUGACGCUGAGGUGCGAAAGCGUGGGGAGCAAACAGGAUUAGAGACCCCUGUAGUCCCUGUCUCUUAUAC